CAAUAAGCGGAGGAAAAGAAACCAACAGGGAUUGCCCUAGUAACGGCGAGUGAAGCGGCAACAGCUCAAAUUUGAAAUCUGGCCUCCUUUGGGGGUCCGAGUUGUAAUUUGCAGAGGGUGCUUUGGCGUCGGCAGCGGUCUAAGUUCCUUGGAACAGGACAUCACAGAGGGUGAGAAUCCCGUACGUGGUCGCCUGCCUUCGCCGUGUAAAGCCCCUUCGACGAGUCGAGUUGUUUGGGAAUGCAGCUCUAAAUGGGAGGUAAAUUUCUUCUAAAGCUAAAUACCGGCCAGAGACCGAUAGCGCACAAGUAGAGUGAUCGAAAGAUGAAAAGCACUUUGGAAAGAGAGUCAAACAGCACGUGAAAUUGUUGAAAGGGAAGCGCUUGCAGCCAGACUUGCUCGUAGUUGCUCACCUGGGUCCGCCCGGGGCACUCUUCUGCGAGCAGGCCAGCAUCAGUUUGGGCGACCGGAUAAAGGCCUCUGUCAUGUAUCUUCCUUCGGGAUGACCUUAUAGGGGAGGCGUAAUGCGGCCAGCCCGGACUGAGGUCCGCGCUUCUGCUAGGAUGCUGGCGUAAUGGCUGUAAGCGGCCCGUCUUGAAACACGGACCAAGGAGUCUAACAUCUAUGCGAGUGUUUGGGUGUCAAGCCCGGGCGCGUAAUGAAAGUGAACGGAGGUGGGAACCCUCUCCGGGGGGUGCACCAUCGACCGAUCCUGAUGUCUUCGGAUGGAUUUGAGUAAGAGCAUAGCUGUUGGGACCCGAAAGAUGGUGAACUAUGCUUGAAUAGGGUGAAGCCAGAGGAAACUCUGGUGGAGGCUCGCAGCGGUUCUGACGUGCAAAUCGAUCGUCAAAUUUGGGCAUAGGGGCGAAAGACUAAUCGAACUAUCUAGUAGCUGGUUCCUGCC
This 904-nucleotide ribosomal RNA is filed under the name Keissleriella ossicula. Its description in RNAcentral is "eukaryotic LSU rRNA". It matches the Rfam family "Eukaryotic large subunit ribosomal RNA", at positions 44 to 962 of the family's 3401-position model. Lineage: Eukaryota; Fungi; Ascomycota; Dothideomycetes; Pleosporales; Lentitheciaceae. The record is from RNAcentral.